ACAUUGGUGAUUCAGUGGUAGAAUUCUUGCUUUCAAUGCAGGAGACCGGGAUCAGUCUUCCCAUGUG
Molecule: transfer RNA, 67 nt
Filed under: Loxodonta africana (African savanna elephant)
Lineage: Eukaryota; Metazoa; Chordata; Mammalia; Proboscidea; Elephantidae
Rfam family: tRNA
About the family: Transfer RNA (tRNA) molecules are approximately 80 nucleotides in length. Their secondary structure includes four short double-helical elements and three loops (D, anti-codon, and T loops).
Source: Rfam by way of RNAcentral